AGAGAAAUCAUCCCAGUUAGAGGACAGAGGUUAGUGGAGGUGGGAGCCAGAAUUGAUGCAGAGUUCUGUUCCAGUUUUGUGUGGUUUCUGGCGAACUGGGCCAUUUGCUCUGAGCUGCCCCAUGACAGGAGGGGCAAUCCGCAGCCCUCACCAUUUCCUGCCCCAUCCCAACCCACACAGGGCCUCUUCUAUGGGCUGCAUUCUGUAAUUGGCAGUUAUAUGGAUUUACAGAUACAGUUGAAGGUGUUUUUAGACAGCUGUACAGAAGACAUAGACAUUCCAGCCUUACCCCAAGAACAUGACCGACCCAGAAGAGCCUUUGAAUGUGCUGAGGACAUGUGCUGAAGUCUCAAAGAAGCAAGGGUGGAAUGGCUGUCCAAGAGCCUCUCAGGUUCUCUAGGGCAAGGGCAAGAGGGCUGGCAUGAUGGGUUUCACUAGGAUAACUAGGAGAACUGGCUGUGACUACGAUGGCCAUCUAUUCUUUGCUGCUCAGCAUCCCUUACUCUUUCCUGUAGUAACAACUACACCCCAAUUCUGCUUUGGGAAACCACCUUUCCCUAACAGACACAGUCAUGGUGGGACAAUCAUCGGAGUGUGGGGCUCCCUGCUCUGGUCAACGAUUUAGCACUCAAGCCAGGACAAUGACAUCUUGCCCUAGAAUCUCAACCACCGACUCUAAGACUGAGCAACAGCACAUCCCAGCAGGAGCACCUAGGUGCUUCUGUCCGUGGGCUCCUACCACCCAGAUCCCCAGAGAUCCUGUUUUUCCUAAAAUAUGCUUCUCCAGUUUGUCCUUUGAUCCUAUCACCUACCCCAGAUCCUUCCAAAAGCUCCUAUUUUCUUUCCCAAGACAGGAAGCCAUACCACACCCUAUUCCCAGAGCACGUCUGUAACCAGCAGCCACAAUCUAAAGGUUAGCAGGGAAAGCUUGCCAAAUAGUUUAGGAUUCUCUCUGGUCGGCCAAUACCUGUUAACCAGGCAGCUCCUUCCUCCACCUCUCCAGGCCCUGAAUGUCUUCAGAAGUCCCCAGGAGCCUCAGCAGAAGAUCCUAUCUUCCCUUCCACUGUGAAGAAGAUGCCCGGAACAUGCCAGGCACAGGCCUGUGACGCAGACAGGACCUGAUGUAUCCCCUGCUCACAGGUCCCCAAAGGCAGGGCUGAUUUCCGUCUGUGUAUGGAAGAACAGUUACAAAGCUCUGCCUCCUACUAGCUUUGCAACUUUGGGCAACUAACCUAACCUCGUUGUGCCUCAGUCUCCUCCUCUGUAAAUGGAAGUAAUAAUAUUGCAUACGGCAUUGUGGUGGGAUGAAGAUUAAAUGAGUUAAUGCAUACAAAACACUUAGAAUGUUGCCUGGCACCUGGUUAAUGUUAACUAUUGUGAUUAUUGUCAUCACCACCACCCCAGCUUCGGCAACACCAUCACCCGCCACCAUCCUAGCAACAGCAUCAUUACUUAUCAUCACCACCACUCUCUUCCUCAGCACCCUCACACAGCAGCAGGAGAUGGUGAGCACUCACCGGGUGUUUGCUGAAUCUGACUCCUCUCUGUAACAUCUGAGUGUGUAAGUGGCAGUCAUACAGAACUUCAGAUGUGCUGAGUAUCAGCACAAAGGGCUGCCUAUGAUGAGAUUGCUGGUAAAGAGCUAGAAUCUCAGUUUGCCCUGAGACUAGACUGUAUCAUACUGCUUUUUCCCUCUUUUUUUUGGUAGAGACACUUUCUUGAUAUGUUGCCCAGGCUGGUCUCGAACUUCUGGGCUCAAGGGAUCCUCCUGCCUCAGCCCCCACUCAAAGUGCUGGGAUUAUAGGUGUGAGCCACUGUGCACGGCCCCCGUACUUCUUGCUGUGUCCUUCAGAAGAAAUACCCGUCCUGCUCCCUGACUCAAUUUGUGGCCCUAAUAAAACAGCAAGCUGCUAGGACUACUACAACACACAAAAUGUGGCCCUGAGUAUACACCCAUAUCAUUAUAUGCCCUCAGACACCGACAAUCCAUGAGGCUAAACUUCCCCAUGCCUAGGCCUCCAGAGACCAGAACAUGCUGUAGGCCUUUCGGUACAACAGCUGCAGCGUGCCACAAGAUGGGCAAUUCUGCACCCCAGACUCAGGCAGACCUGAGUACAAAUUUUGACUUAGGCCUUUCCAGCUGUGUGGCUUUGGGUAAAUGCCCAUCUCUGAGUGUCUGUUCACUCCUGUAUCAAAGGGAGACAAAUGGUAACACUCACCUCUCGGGGAGUCCUGAGGAUGAAAAAAGAUCGUCCGUGUGAAAACAGACUAUGUAAGUUAUGGCUAUGUAACUUAUAGGACCAAAUGCAAAAUGAAAUCAUGGGGCCCAUUCGAAAGUUAUAAAAGAGUUUUGAGAAGGUGACAGUAGAGUAUGAGACAGUAUGAAAGCAAGCAUAGGCCCUUCUGAGCACAGGGCCUGUGUGAGUGCACAGGCUGCCUGCUUAUGAAGCUGCUCUGGAUCAGUCAGGUACCAAGCACAGUGCCUGACACAGAGGAGGUGCCCAAGAAAUGUUCAUUCUUUUCUUUCCUUCAAUGGAGCCAAACAACAAUUCUGACAGUUUAGUAACACUAGAUGCUCCCCUCUGUCAGGAGCAGCACACUUUCACUCGGAGCUUUGCUGGUAACCUAGCUGCCUCCUGAAGGGUCCAGCAGAACUGAGCUGCCCAGUUACUGGGGGUUUGCUUCCCUCCAUGAUGCCCAAAUUGUGACACCAAGAUAAGGACAGGACCUCUGGGUUAACAGAGCUCCUCCUCACCUCCAUCUCUGGUUCAUCCAGAUGAUGUAGUUUUCCCAGCAGGACUAGCCCUUCAAUUCCUGCCUGACUUGGGUUAUGAACUGGCAACCCUGGUUUGACACCCCUUCCAAGUAGUUAUUUUUUAAUUGUGACAUAGCUACCAACAUUUAAUAAGCAAAGGAAUUCAGAUAAAAAUCAGCAAUGGUAGCUUCCACUAGAAAUGUUCAAGGUUGGCAACAAAAGCCUGAAUUCCCACGUGGCACACAUCAGUUGGAACCAAGCGGCACACUCCCUUCAGACAGGGUGCGUCUCACUGGUUUGCCACAGUCGUCACUACUCCCUAAUGUCACACCAGACCAGCUUUCCUCACUCCCAACUCCCACUGCAAGCUCACUCUGGCCAGCCUGGUUUCAGUUUGCAAGAUGGCACUCUGACCCAAUGAGUCUGCAGAACAACACUAACUCGGGUCUUUUGAAAAGGCCUCAAAAACGAAAGUAAAAAUCAUGGUUUAAUAAACUCACCAUGAUCCUGAUACCAAUAACCUGGCUCAAGAGAAGAGGCUCUUUCUGUACAAAGCAGCUUUCUCCAAUUCUGUUUAUUUUUGAAGAGAUUUUAUUUUUAGGCCAAUUAGAAACUAACCAUGCUGUUGCUCUGCCCAUAUAACAUAGUCCAUUCUCCUCAGCACAUUUGGAUCUGUGUGUAGAAAAGAUGACAAUGAGGAAAGGAGUAUCAACUGAUACCCAGUACUCCCCCAGUGGAUGUAAUGUGCAGGUGAACAGCUACUCAGAGGGUGAUGUGAGGCCAGUUAGAGCCCAGACUCAAAGAAUGAGCCUGCUCCUGAAAUGUCUUCCCCAUGAAACUUGGAG
Molecule: long non-coding RNA, 3600 nt
Filed under: Homo sapiens (human)
Lineage: Eukaryota; Metazoa; Chordata; Mammalia; Primates; Hominidae
Description: HSALNT0312067
Source: RNAcentral